Molecule: ribosomal RNA, 440 nt
Filed under: uncultured bacterium
Lineage: Bacteria
Description: partial 16S ribosomal RNA
Rfam family: Bacterial small subunit ribosomal RNA
Source: RNAcentral
CCUACGGGAGGCUGCAGUGAGGGAUAUUGGUCAAUGGGGGAAACCCUAAACCAGCAACGCCGCGUGAGGGAAGACGGUCCUCGGAUCGUAAACCCCUGUCCUCUGUGAAGAUGAUGACGGUAGCUGAGGAGGAAGCCCCGGCUAACUACGUGCCAGCAGCCGCGGUAAUACGUAGGGAGCAAGCGUUGUCCGGAUUUACUGGGUGUAAAGGGUGCGUAGGCGGCUAUGCAAGUCAGGAGUGAAAUCCAUGGGCUUAACCCCUGGACUGCUUUUGGAACUGCGGGGCUGGAGUGGAGUAGAGGUAGGCGGAAUUCCCGGUGUAGCGGUGAAAUGCGUAGAGAUCAGGAGGAACACCAGUGGCGAAGGCGGCCUGCUGGGCUCUAACUGACGCUGAGGAACGAAAGCGUGGGUAGCAAACAGGAUUAGAUACCCUGGUAGUC